Molecule: ribosomal RNA, 433 nt
Filed under: uncultured bacterium
Lineage: Bacteria
Description: partial 16S ribosomal RNA
Rfam family: Bacterial small subunit ribosomal RNA
Source: RNAcentral
AACGAACGCUGGCGGCAUGCCUAACACAUGCAAGUCGAACGAGACCUUCGGGUCUAUUGGCGCACGUGUGCGUAACGCGUGGGAACCUGCCCUUAGGUUCGGAAUAACUCCCCGAAAGGGGUGCUAAUACCGGAUAAUGUCUUCGCACCAAAGAUUUAUCGCCUUUGGAUGGGCCCGCGUUGGAUUAGCUAGUUGGUAGGGUAAAAGCCUACCAAGGCGACGAUCCAUAGCUGGUCUGAGAGGAUGAUCAGCCACAAUGGGACUGAGACACGGCCCAGACUGCUACGGGAGGCAGCAGUGGGGAAUAUUGGAGAAUGGGCGAAAGACUGAUCCAGCAAUGCGGGGGGAGUGAUGAAGGCCUUAGGGUUGUAAAGCUCUUUUACCCGGGAUGAUAAUGACAGUAACGGGAGAAUAAGCUCCGGCUAACUACGUG